RNAcentral lists this transfer RNA (67 nucleotides) under Extubocellulus spinifer. Lineage: Eukaryota; Bacillariophyta; Thalassiosirophyceae; Cymatosirales; Cymatosiraceae. The record is from RNAcentral.
GAUCUUAUCAUUGUGGCAGGACGACCAUCAAUGGGAAAAACAGCUUUAUGUUUAAAUAUCGCAUUAA